Molecule: long non-coding RNA, 17150 nt
Organism: Cavia porcellus (domestic guinea pig)
Lineage: Eukaryota; Metazoa; Chordata; Mammalia; Rodentia; Caviidae
Exons: 5
Source: RefSeq, a predicted model, not a curated record
CAGAGUUAUUGAGAGUAUUAGACAUUAUUUUCCAAACUUUGAUUAAAGAAGAAAAUAUGAUCAAUUUUUGAAACUCUUGUUUCUGAAUAUGAGUGAAUAUAGUAUUUCACUCAGAUUUUUAAAAAGUAAGUACAUAAUAGUUUUAUCAAGAAGCUUCUUCAGUCAGUGAGAGAAAUAGUCACCCAAUCAUGAGAAUGACAUUUAAAAACUAUGAUUGUCUUUCUUCUUCAUAUUUCAGUCUUUCUCUUCAAAGUACAGUCAUUAUUGAAAAUGUAAGUUUUAAAGCAGAAAGUCAGAGUAACAUUUCACUCUGCAAGUUUAUUUAUUAACUUAUUCAUUUUUAUCCAUAUAUCAAACCCUGAAUUAACUGUUGUGCUAAGAGAAAAUUUGCUAUGUAGGAUAAAUUAUUGCCAGUGUGUGCUCACUUUCCUUAUUCAUAAAUUCCACGAUGGUUCUAAGAGAACAAAGGAUGAUAUAGGUAACAGUAAAGAUGGCUUCUGAGUUUGAUUUUGCCUUUAUUUUUGCCCUAGGAAUAGUAAAAUACUUUACUCAAUUAAGCUAGAUGUCUUUAUGAAAUACAUGAUUUCUUAUACAACAGAGCCUCCCACAGUCACUAGUAUAUUGUAAAUAUUUUAGGAAACAAGUAAACCAUAAUGUAAAAUUACAUGACAUUUAGCUUAAGGUAAUUGGCAUCAAUGUUAAACUACUACUAUAAAAAAAGAAAAGAAAAAAAAAAAAGCAAGCAAGCAAGAAAUAAAAUUGAAAACUCCCAAAUUCUGUAAUACAAGAACUUUCUAGUGUGCAUCAAAUGAGAUUAAAUUUCUAACCAUUUGACCCUUUGUCCUCUUUUUUCCCCUUUCCUUACAGGAACACCAAGUGCAGUCAUAAACUGGGCCUGUUCAGUGCGCAGCUGGGUCAGUAGGGAGGAGGGAGCCCUAGUAAGAUCAAAGCCAAGUCCCAUCUGGGGAUUGCUGCUUAUGUGUCGGGUGCAGGCCUGUUUCAGGGAGGAGCAGGGCUGCACACUUGCUAUGAACAUGAAUAUUCUGUCCUACAGCUUCCUGAUACACUCUCAUUCCAUGUUGCUGACACAACACAAAAAUAAGGAAAAGGAAGAACAAUCCAUAUAAAGGAGAUGAGAGCUGGAAUACAAAUCACAACAAAAGACAGAAGUCUCUGAAAAUGUUGAAAGCAAGCAUAAACUUUCCUGAAAUUGAGCUUUAAACAUGGGGUGCUAAAAGAUUGUGAAAAAGUAGAGAGCUUUUAAAGUGCACAGUGCUUUCAUUAUAAAGUAUGGACUGAUUAAUUCAUCCUACUGCUUUUACUUCAUUCUCAUCUAUUUUGAUUGAUGGGGACACACGUCUAACCAGAGAAUGGAGAAAAGAGAACCAAAGUCAGAAUACAGGAACCUGAGGCCACAGGAAGCCCUCUCUGCCAGUCAGAAUUAAGAAAAAAGAAGGGUGUAAGGAGUGGGAGUGCCAAGAGCUGUGGCACGUUUAUUUAUCCACUUGGGAGGUGGAGUCUCAUGUGAACCUCUGCCUCAUAGUUUCUCCAUGUGCAAUGUCUCAGGCACCCAGUGUUCUUGAGAGCAGAGCUGCUUAGUGAAGUGACUUGCUUCAGGCGCUCUGUGUUCUUCAGGCUGGCCUUGGCUCUGCUGCAAGUGAUCACUCCGUCUUUAGUCACUACCCACAUCAUAGGAAUUUGGGUGAGGAUGUUUGGAUUUUAAUGUUUGAUUGCAAUAGCAUUCUAUCCUAGUCAGGACCCUUAUGUAUCCAUAUGCAGAAUGUAAGUGCUCUUUAGGUUUUAAAAUAUUUUCAUUAGAAUAUGUUUGCAAUAUAUUAUGAUUACAUUCGUCAUGGGGGUUAUCUGUAGAGAUAUCCUGACCAGGUCUUUUCUCAUAUAAGAGAAACCAUAUGAUAUUUAACUGCUCUUUAUAUUGAACUAUUAUUGAGAUUUGAUAUUGUUCCAAGAAAUAAUAUUAAAAGUUUAGUCACAUGCAAUAUAUAGUUAUGUAUCACAAAGUGAUAGGCAAAAUAAUGAUUUGUAAACAAAAAUUGUUGUAUUCAAUGUAUUCGGGAUGUUCAUUUUCUCAUAUUUACAAAAAGUUCAUAAAAAUAAUUUUUGAAAAGAAAAAUGUGUUUGUAUGAUAAUACAUAUGUAAUAGUUACAUGCUGCAAACAUGCACUAAUAAUUUUAUUGAAACUUUGUCUCUUCCUCGUCCAUACUUUGUUUACAUCUCUAUUAUCGUAGGCUCCAUCUUUUGUUUUGACUUAAGAAUUUGUACUAUUUAUGCCUUAUGUCCAAUAUUAAACUAUGUUUACACUCUCAAAGCAGGAGAUGAGGCUCUUUAAAAAUGUUACAGGCUUGUUCUGAGUUUCAUAAGCUGUUGUUCAUGGCUGAUUAAAAGAUCUAUUAUUCUCAUGUAAAUUGAUCAUCGGCAUUUAGAAACAGCUAUCCUGUUCUAUUCUAAUGUUCUUAUAACUGCUGUCUCUCCCAUUUAUCUUAAAUGUGUGCAGCAUUAGAUUGUCAAAAUACUCAUCAUUUAAUAUAGCACAUUCCUUUCCUCUAUGAAUGAAGCCCUAGCAAUUACAUUGCAAAAUAGCUGUCAAUUCAUGGCUUGUAUUUAGUGUUGAGAUUCUCCUUUCCAUUUGGAAAUUAGCUGCUCAUUUCUAGGAUGACUCCUAAGAUGCACUGUUUUAGGAAGUAAAGUUUCUUGGAAGUAAAUGCUCAGGUACAAUUUCAAGUGAAUUAUUAUAUGAAACAAAAGCUCUCAGCACAAUGGAAGAUGAAUAAAUAAAGUUCAGGAUAGAAGCAAUAAAUGGUAAGGUCUUAUCAUCUGUCAAUUAGUUUUAAUCCGAUCUCAUGUGAAAGCUGUAAAUCACAAAAGUCAAUGCUACAUUCCACCAAAUUACCUUUAGUCAUAUAAUAGACCAAAGUCUGUGCACAAAAUGAGAUUAGCCUGUAGCUCCUGAAGAUGAAACUGCUGAAGAUUUGGUUAAUGGCAAUUCUUUGGAGAAGAGAACAGAUGUGAGAUUUUAUCUUUCCUGUACUAGCCUGUAAUCUCUGAGAGCCCUGUGUACUAACUGGCUCAAGGCACCUUGGAUAAGACAUUCAACAUCACAUGAAUUUCAUCUCAUAUGAAGUUACAAGAUCAAUUACAAAAUUACAAGAUCAUUUUGUACAUGAUAUUACUAUUUAAGUCACUUAUGGCCAUGAAAUAAUUAGCAACUGUAUAUUCAUAUAUUGUGUAUAAUUAUGGUUUAGUUACAUUUCAAUAAACAAAAUAAGCUAUAGAAUGAAAAGGAGAGCAGGAGUGACAGAAUGACGCCACAAACCUGUAACUCCAGCAGGCUGGGUGAUGAAGCAAGAUUUGGGGGACAUUCUUGAUCUAAUUCACAGAACCAUCUCACAGUGAUGUAGGAACAUGAGUCAAGGAGUAGGGUGACUCUAAAACCCACUGCUUAGCAAAUCAAAUACAGGAAAUAGUGCCAAUUUGGAGUUUAUACUUUACAAUAACAUUUGUAAAAUGGACAUGUGACUAAUUAAUUUGUGUAGAAGUUUUAGGGCAGAAAAGAUCUGUGGUGAAAUCAACAAAAUUAUCAGCCUCAAGAAAAUUUAAAGUGGGGCUCUUUCCCUCCAGUGAAAUACACCUGGGUCAUGGGUCUAAGUGUCAGCAGGAAAUGGAAGUGGACAAAGUGCUUUUAUUUGAGAGGAGGAGAGGUUAAAUCAAGUCCUUUGACUAUGGAUCUGGGGAGGAGGACUAGGGUCAGGGGUGCCCCUCCCUGAGGACUCCCAUUGGUAGGCCUUUUAGAUUUCUGGGUCUGUGGCUGGAUCUGUUGCUGGGUCUAUCAGAGAAGAACAAGGCACUGUGGCUAGGUCUUGGGUGUAACAGGAGGCAAAACCACAGGUGCGGUUUAUGUGGAAGGAAAAUUUUGUUUCUUAGGGAAGAGGAUAGUGGCUUUAUACUUCACAGCAAGUGGCUACAUUCACACCACAUACUACACUGAGGACCAAACACGAGUUCUCAUUCAGCAAAAAAGGAAUAGCUAAAAAUCUGUGCUUCUGUAAGAAGUCAGUAAAUAAACAAAUAAUGCAGUCCAUGGUUAGCACACAGAGAACACACACUACAUCAUGAUUGAACGUACUGUAAAAAGAUGAACCAGUUCAUUGGGCAAGUUCCCCCUAAAGAGCAGACUUUGACAAGAGCAUGCUAGCUGCACAGAGCUGGGGGAGAUCAUUCUAGGCAGAGUGAGUAGAAAGGAUCUUGGCACAUUUUAAAAACCUGAAAAUAUUCUAAAGAUUAGUGGACCUGAAAGAUGACAAGGUGGUUAAAGGUGUAAGAGAUGGAAGAAAUGCGUGGAGGCUUUAUUUACUAGGCUGUGAAAUUUGUUUUUGAAUCAAAGUAUGGCUUUUGAAAGUGGCUGGGCAGGGGACAGAAAUGAUAUCUAAUUUGCUUUUUAAAAGUCAGUGUGGCUACUGUGUUGAUGACGGAUUGUACAGAGACCCUAGUGACAUCCGGAAGGUUAAUGGAGUUUGGAUGCAGGAUAUUUGAUACAGCUUUCUUUCUACUUGUGCUCAAAUUCCAGGAGGUGUAGUCUAAAACUACUACAGCCAUUUCAUUUGACUAGAACUAAGUUCAGUGGCCACAUGUCACUUUAAAGGCCAGAAAACGCAGUCUUUUAUUUGGGGAAUUUACACUAGGGGAAAGUAAAAAUGAGUAUGCAAUAAUCAGGAAAGGUGGAAUGAAAGGGAUAUAGAUUAAAAACAGUUCAGAAUUUGUCACAGAUGAUAGUUUAGAUUGGUAAAUAGAGUUUUCAGGAAGGACUGAUGAAGUUCAAGAAUAUAACAUCUGGAAAGCAGAAUGCAGCGCAACUUCAUAAACAGGUAACAAUGCAUUCUGCAUUCAUUUAAAUAAAGUAGCACUUUCACUCUUUAACCUGCAAGACCUAAUUUCAAUGUAAAUAUAAAUUAGAAUUUUCUAGAAUAUGUACAAUUUCCUUGUUGAGUGGGGCGUGCUCCUGUUGUAAUUUUACCAGCUAAAUGUGACAUAUUAACCUCAUGCUGUCUCAAUAUGUUUAUUAUUAAACAUUCUUGCAACCUUUUCUUUUUAUGGCCGCAUAUCUUUUCCAAACUCUGAAGUUAAAAGAUAAUAUAAAUAGUAUCAUUUGCCUUAAAUUUAAAAAUUUUUCUGUUUUGUACAAAUUCAAUUUAUAAGUGAUAAUCAGAUGAACUACAAAAUACAGAUUAUAAAACCUCUAAGAAGGUUUUGAGUUCAGCUGAUAUUCUUAAAUUUUUUAUUUAGCAGCACAAAGAGGCAUCUAAAUUGAUGCUGCAGGUAAACAUAAUGAGAGCAUAUAAAACCAUUAUUUUUUUGUAGCAAAUGUUAAAAUUACAAGAUACCUACCACAUAAUUAUGAUGCCACAGAGCAGAGGUGAUUAUAAAUUCAAAAGUGCUGUAUAUGUCACUUAACGCAGUACUUUUGCUUUCUAGUAUAAAAGAAAAAUAAUAAAAUGAAAUCAUGUUGGGACUGGGGAUUGACAAGUGCGAGGUUUUUAGUUUGAUACUCUGCCUGGUACACACAUACACACACAUACACAAGAAGAAAUCGUGCUGAAAUUUUUAAAUUAAACUCCACACUUCCACAAUCAAUAAUACUAGUUUAACUAGCAUUCAUGUUGUUGAUUAAAAGAUAAACAAUGAGCUGGGAUUUAGCUCAGCAGCACAAGCACCUGCCUGGCAAGUGCAAGGUUGUGAGUUCAAUCCCUGGUACAAAAACAAACAAACAAAAAAGAUAAACAAUGAAAAGUCAGUUCUUUCUAUGAGAUAAGGAAAAUUACUGAAUUUUAAUCUUAACAUAAUGCCAGAACCACUAACAAGUACUAUCCUAUUGGGACUAAUAUUUAACUGUUAGUUUUUUCAAAGAUUUUACUGAGUGAUAUAUAUACAAUAUUAUAUUAAAUUAUAUAUAUAUGUAUUUAUUCUUUUAAAAUUGUGUCUGUUCAUCUGCAUUACCAACUUGAAAAGAUGAAGAGACUUUGAAAGAAGUGAUUGGAUUGUGAGGAGACUAACCUCAUCAAUGGUUUAUCCACAUGCUAAAACUCUGUAAGGCUGAGUUCAAGAUGAUGCAUUAAGUGGUCUGGUGGAGCAAAAAUACUAUAAGACCAGCAUCCCUGCCUGCUACGAGAUCCUGAGAGGCUGCUGAGUCCCUGGGAGUGGAGUGAAGCUGCAGUGGAUACCACAGAAACUUGGAGAUGCCAGGAAAAUGGAACAUGGUCCAAAAAGUUAUGAGCAAGGAGCAGAACCAGCAGAAGAAUGAGGUCAUGGUGUAUUUGAAGAUCAAAUGUAUUUGAAAGAUAUAAGGUUAUUGAGAAAUUAAUCAUAGUUUAAAGAUGUGUAAUUAAGUGUCAAAUUGAUAAAGUGAUAGUCUUCAAUCAGUUGAGCUUCACUGUAGUCUUGACUGGACUGAGAGACCCCUGGAGAGGUGUUAGAUUGUGAGGGCAGUAACUUCAUUAAAACUGAGUUUGUAUUUGAAUGGGCUUUUAGGACUUGGGGUAUAGUUUAAGAAAAUGGGUCAAGAGAGCAUAACCUUGCGGACUAUAUUAGUCACUGAAACUUUUUUCUUUGGCUCUUUGUAAUCUGCUCUGCUUUCCAAAUGCCAUGAGUGUAGCAGCUUUCCUCUGUGAUGCUUUUCCACCAGGGGGACUGAAAUCUCUGAAAGUAUGGGCCAAAAUGAAGCUCUGUGAAUUUAGAUUGUAAAUGUGAGAAAUUUUUGCCCCCGAACAGAAAAGCGACAAAUGUGAUUCUCAAACAAUCAUAAAAUUCAGAUAUCUAUCUACCUAAUAUAUUGUAUGCUCUAAAUACAUUAAACACUAACAAUCAGUAAACUGAACAUUUUCAGUAAGAAUAUAUAUAUGUAUAUAUAUAUAUAUAUAUAUAUAUAUAUACAUAUAUAUAUAUAUUCAUCUAUAUCAUAUAUAAUGUAUAUUUAUUUUUAUUCUUAACAACCUAGACCGUGCAAGUGUCAUAAAGACAUCUACAAAAAUAUGUUUAAUAUUUGGAAGCCUCUUGAUAAGAGUUUUAGUUUUCAAGUUAUAAAACUUUUUUCAUACUUGAAUUCACAAAACAAUUAUAUAAUGCAGAAACGAAUGCAGAAUCAUUAUAUGUAUUUUAAUAUGAGUAAAUGGCGAGUGAGAAAUAAGUGACAUACCCAAAUUCACAUAAAAGCUAAUGAAUAUUCUUAGACUAGGUCCUCUAAUUCAAUUUCAGUAUUUAGUUGUUCAAAUCUGGAAUGUUCCCUGAACGUCCACAUGUUAAAGGUGAUUCCUGAGACUGGGGGGCUGUAGAACAAGAGUUGGGGCUUGGUGAGUGCUGUGCAGUCAUCAUGAACACAUGCUCUGAGGAAUUAUGACUCAGGCUGUCUCUCUGUGCUCACGAUGCGAGCAGGGUUACUUCACCACAAACUUCAUGCAGUCUUGUGCUGCCCCGUCCUCAUCAGAGGACUGAAACUAUUAUGUCUUUCUCAUCUAGACUGCAAUCUCUAAAACUGUCGGCAAAAUUAAACCUUUUCUUUUCACGAACUGACAAUCAUACCUUAAUUGACUAAUACAUUUAUUUCACCGCCCCUCAUCUCUGAACUAUAGUGGAGAUUUAUGCAUUCCAGUUAAUACCUCCAUGAGAUACUCUUAGAAACUGGUUCACAUUUAUUUACUAUUCUUACCAUAUUGAAUUUUUGUUAGAAACAUGUUUUUCUUACUUUCAUGCCAUUCUGUUGCUUAAAAUGAAACAUUCAAGCAGACAUGGAAGCCAAUCUGAGAAAAAAACUGUCAAUUUGCCUGUUUAUUAAAGUGUGAUAUAUUUUUAAAAACAAUAAAAUAUAUAUCUUAAAUAAAAAUUAUCAAUCAAAUAAGUGUUUCCUAGAUGUGAAUGCAUGGGCUAGUAACUAAAGCAAUGAUUUCCUUUAUUUUUUAGCCUUGAUUAGUAACAGUUCUUAAAUCAACUCCCACAAUUACUAUUAUACUCAUAUUGUAUUGUGAUAAUAUACUAUGUGUUAUAAUAUCUAUUAAGUAUAAUAAUAUAUGUUAACCAUACUGAUAUAAAAAUCUCAUAUUUUUAAACCAUUUAGAAAUUUUGAAUUAUUCACAUUUUACUUUAAAAUAAAAGUUAAGUUAUGCAAACAUUGGAAGUACUACUGAGAACUUUGAAUAUAAGCGUUUUACUAUUUAGCCACAAAGAAAGAUAAAUUUGAGUUAUUUUUAGGAAAAUGAUUGCAUUCUGAGAACAAAAUGUUAAAUGACAUUAAACAAAUGUACCAGCUGAAUACCACAUGGCUUUUCUUAUAUGAGAGAGUUAGGAAAAGUAUAUAAAGCAAAAUAAAUGAUAGGUAAUAAGAAUUAGGAGGAUAGAUCUUUCUCAGUAGAGAAGGGGAUUGUCAGGUGGAAGGGAAGGAGCACUGUAAAAGGAAUUAAAGUGUGUUAUGUACUUGUAAUAAUUAUCCACAAGACAUAUAAAUAGUAUAUGUACUAUAUGCAUAUACAAAGUAGGAUAAAAGUAAAUAUAAUUUUGGAAUGUCAUUAGUAAAUAUUAACAGAGAGCUGUAUGAUGAUCAGUAUUUGACAUUUUCAUGUGGUAGAUUUCAAAGCUUGAAACUACAAAAUUUAGCUCCACCCCAAAAUACUGUUUAUCUUGGAGUCUUGCAAACUUUGUCCCUGUGAAAAGAGCAAACUUUGCAGCAGCCCUUUGAAUUCUAUUUCUUUGCUGUAAUCUGCAAGUGACAGAGUCACAGCCACUGCUCGUGGGUAGCCUAGCAGCAAAUGGGAAAAUAAACGGGUUAAAAUAAAUUAAGAAAAUUGAUUUACCUUUAAAACAUGUUUUGAUGUAAUUACUGUUAACUUUAUCACUGAGUACUAAGUACUUAUAUUUUGCAAUGUUGUUAAAAAGUAAACACAAAAUAUUCACUCUAAAAAUGUUGCUAUAGAGUGAGGGCGAAUACCGGCAAGGCCCAGGGCGCGGGGAAGAGUGCUCCCCUCACCAAGCUGGCCAGGCUUUCUGUUCACUCAGAACCAGGGAAGGGCGCCCCUCAACUCUGGAGGCGCAGGCGCGUUUUUAACCAGCAAGAAAAAGUCACCGGGGACUGGCAUGUCUGGAGCAGAGCGGGGUUUGGGCCCCUCGGCGCUGCCCUGUCCUCAGAGUGACCGUUUCCAGGUUGCAGUUGGAAGACUCCGUCCCGCAGCCCCGCGUGCCCAGGCGGUGCCAGGCGUGCAGGGCACCGGAACCCUGUGCCGAGGCAUGUGGCCAACAGUUCAUGGAUAAUCCAGAGGAAGUCUGCAGUGGAGGCCCCCGGGGAUAGUGAACAGUCUGCCAGUAACAGGCAUGAGCCGGGAAACUCUAAAUAAUGUGGAGGAAUUCUGGGCUGGAGUGAGUGUCCACCAUCCUGAGCCCCAGAGUUUGGGGUCAUCGCUCCCGCUGCCUGUCAAGGAGCUAGGAGGCCUCCAGCACAUACUACCAGCUCCUCAGGUCUCCAGCUGCCUGCCCCAACCUCAGUGACCCUCUCUCAAUCCGAGGAACUGGGCUGUCAGAGGCCCAGGAUUUUAUGAAUAUUUCUGAUCAACUUCAUAAGCUACUGAUACAUUUAAUGUUCAUUUUUCUAGUAUUACAAAUAAGUUUAUGCAAUAAGAAAUAAUUUAUAACAUUAUCUGAUCACAAAUAAUAGAAGUAUUCCUUUAAAACUCAGUAAGCAUUUCUAUGUGCAUCUGAAAAGAAUAUGUACAGAAGCAGAUUUAUUUGCAAUUUUGUGAAGUCUUCCUCUGAUCUUUAUACUAUUUAUUCUUGAAUCUUAUACUACCCACAUGUAGUGAUUUAAGAGUACAUUUUCCCUGUAAAUACAUUAAUAUUUUUCAUCAUUUAAAUAAUAUUUGAGUAAAAAUUGAUGCUUUAAAAAUAGCUUUCAUACUUUUUAUUUCAUUUGCGAAAGUCAGACAAGAAGCAUAUAACACAGAAUUAGGAUACAGAACUUUUUAUAUCAAUUUAAAAUUUAUCCAUUCCAAAAUAACCCAAGAUGGACUGCUCAUAAUAAGUAUUGCUCAAUUGGUUUUCAAAGUAAUUAUUCAAGUUUUUCAAAUGUAAACUGUCAUAGUUUUAAAAACUGGUCCAUUUUACAAUCACAGUAUUGGAAUGAUUUUGAUACCUGUCUAGGCAGUGUAAAAUUAUUCAUGUAUGUGAUUGGUUUCAUAAAUUGUGAUUGAUAAUUUAAAAGAUAUGAAGAGGAAUUUUCAUCCUGUGUUAUCUACAAUUUGGUUUAUUCAUAGAACAAAUUUCAGGUCAUAGAUUUUAAAACAUGUGAAGUUUUUACCACUCAGAAAAUAGUGUAUUUACUUUUGGCUUCCUAAUGCUGCUUAUAAAACUAGAUACAAUUAAUUGUGUACUCUGCCACAUGUAGGUUUCAAGAUAGCCAUGAACACUGGAGAAGGCAACAGGGUAUCCAUAAAACAUGUAACAGUACAGAUUUGGAGGAACACUUGACACAAGUUGUUGGAGGGGGGAGGUAUCUGGCCACUUACCUCAUCUUAGUUCCAAAGUAGAGGAGAAAAGAUAAGUCCUUCUCAUUUUAGAAACACCAUAUUCUAACCAUCUCCAGGAAUGAAAUGUGUGCCAAUAGCCUGGAAUAUGUUCAAAAUUAUUUAAAAGAUACUUUUGCAAAGUCAGCACCGAGAGAACUUUUACGAUAACCAAGCAAGACAAAUAUCACCUGAAAAUUCACGGCUAUUGUUUUACUUAUGUGACCUUAGUCUUAGCCAGCUUUGGUGCUACAGGUCUAUAAUUUCAGCUAUUGAGAGGGUAAAGAGUCAGGAGGAUCACCAUCCCAGGCCACUAAGUAAGAUCUUUUCUAAAAAUUAAAUUUGUAUAAGAAUUUUUUUUGGUCUUUUUCGUUUUUAUCGGUACCAGGAAUCAAACCUGCCUGCUUGCAAGGCAGGUGCUUAUGCCGCUGAGCUAAAUUCCCAGCCCCUAAAAAUUAAAUUUGAAAAUUGCCUGGAGAUAUAGUUCAGUGAUUCUUGAGUUCAAUGUCCAAUACCACAAAAUAAACAAAACAAAACAUACAAUAUUUUAAAUCCUUAAAGUUUAGGAAAAUAACUCUCCUGAAGUCUGAGGAGAUAUUGGACGAACCUAUGAGAGAAGUGGUCAAGAAUCAAAAAGAGAACAAGGCCCCACAGGUGACAUAUCAGAGCUCAUGUUCAUGAACCUCAUCAAGCAGCCAUAAAAGUCUAUCUGGAGACCUGAGAAAGCACUACUCAGGUUAUUAACCAGAAGAAAGGAAGAAAAGGAAAGGUACUAAACUGUGAUGACAUUAUCACGGAUCCUUUUCCUCCUUAGGAAAGCCUUAAACUAAAAGCAAAGCAAAAAUAUUUUAAGGAAAUAAAAUAUUGUACAAAUAUCUCCCAUUGAUAUAGACAGAAAUUAAAAAAUAUUGCUUUACAAAAUUUAGGAUUUAUAAGAGAGUAUCAUCAUGAUGUGAGUGAAGCAAGGCUAUUCCAACAAUGGGAAAUAAAUUAUUUACCGAUUAAAAGACUAAAGAUGGUUAAUGGCAAAUUUCUCAUAAAUGUGGGACAAAGAGCAAAUGAUUAAAAAGAAUUAUAAGUAGGAAUUAUUUUUUCAAAUACCUAUUACAAUUAUGUUUUAAUAUUAAUAUUCAAAAUGACAAUGAAUGAACUAGUGAGGCCAAUAAGUAAAUGAAAAAAACAAAACAAAAUAGGGUUGAACAUGUCAAACUCCAACCUGUAUAUGUGAAUGUGUGUAGUUAUAGUAUCAAUUGUGUCUCAAUAAAAUGACCAAAUAAUUAAGGGAAUAAUCAGCAAAAAAUAAAUGAACUAGAAUUAAAAAGCAGAAAAUUGAUUAUGUACACCUACUUGACAGUUGUACAUGGUACUAUUUUAAUGUAAAAUAUAUCAAUAAAUAGAAAAUGAGAAAAGAUGUCACUCUUUGCAAAUGAGAUGAUUAUCCAAAUAAAAUAGCAAUAAAAAUCCAAAACAUGUUUACAAUCCAGUGAUAAGCUGAAAGAAACAAAAUCAGUAUAUAAAUUAUAUAUGUGCAAUAUCCAUUAGCACAGGAACACCAGUGGAAUUCUUGCACAUAAAUUUAAGAAUAUGUCUGUGAGAGACUUGUGUUGAAAAUAAUAAAACUUCCUCCUCCGUAGUCCUCCUGGUGUUUGUUAUCCCUGUGUUCUCUGGACUUCCUCUUUUGACAUUCCAGCAUACUAAACAUUUUUCACACUUACAGAUAAGAAAAUUAAAUUGGUUUUCAUUGUACUUUCAUCCAAAUGGUCCCUGCUGUCCUUCUUAUUCUUUAAUGAUCAUGCUGUUGGACGGUGAAUCAGCUGUGUAUUGAAGUUAUAAAUGUGACAUAAGGGGCUUUUAUGAAAGUCAUUUUGCACAUCUACAUCUUCUUCCCUACAUUUUGUUCUGGCUUCUACUCAAAAACCUAAUGGGCUAGGAAGGCAUUAAGGACCCAAGAAAGAUUUGAAAGCUUUAUUGAAUGACUAUUUUUUAAGCCAUGUAAGGAAACAAUAACUGUCACAAAAGUCUUCAAAAUCUGAGGUAUGAAAAAAAGUGGGGUUAUUGACCACAAAAAAAAAAAAAAGUGCAAAACAAGACAAGAAAAUCUUGCACAGAAAGAGCCUGAGAACAUUCCACAAAUCUGCUGCUGCUCCAGGGGAGCAGGAGAAAUGAAGAUCGAUGGUUUGGCUAUGAAAUCCUUAGGAAAUCUGAGGAUGAAAUGAGAAGCAAUACACACAUAAGGCUGAAGACUGGAGCCCAUGGUAGGGCCACACAUGAAGCAAAAUCAUGCUCAAAGGACCGAAACAAAAACAGCAAAUGGCAUCUUUCAGCUGACAACCUACACUCAAAGAUGGUUGUUACCCUGCAUUCAUUAGAUGACCUCACUAUGUCAGACUCUGCAAUGAGUCAUUGAAAAGGCUUAAUUCAUGUUUUAUGAAACAAAAGCUGGUCGAAACCGUAGAAGACAGGAUUUUCUUGGUGUUGAUGAUUAGUUUUUUUCUCCAAAUGUGAUGGGGAUUUCUUUGUGAAUUAAGCUUAAAUAUCAAAAUUGAUAAUGCAUUUUUUCUGUAUAUUACUUUUCAGGCUUGUGAAAAGUAAUAAGUGUUUUCAUAGUUGUACCUUUUUCAAAUAACCACAAGUAAGAAAUUACAAAUAUUUUAAAAGACUUACCAAUGUAGAAGGUCUUUGAGUUUGAUCCCCAUACUGAAAAAAAGAAAAAGUAGAGGGUCGUAUAAGAGAAUGUAUAACACUGUGAUAGAAAUGCCCAUUGAAAUUAAAGAGGGAAAUAUAGAAAAUCAGAGUGCCUUUGGGGAUUAAAUUGUAUAUUAGUGAAUCAAGAGAAUUUCUAUGAAUCAAGUAAUUAAACAAAGGCUUUAAAUUCUAGUAACUCACAAUUCAAUGACUCAAUGUGGAAUCACCCAGAACUUACAUUUUUUUAAAAAGAUAUGUUUGCAAUUUCUUCAGGAAUCUGAAAGCUGGUCUUUUCAGGCUGAUUUAAAAAUAAUCAAAGCUGAAAGAUGUGUGUCUAUUUAAUUAUUUCAGGAGGAACUAUUCCCGGGGCUUAGGAGGGUGUUCCCGAUCCAUCUUUUUGCCUAGUAAUGUUGGAGGGGUCUUCUUGGGAAGCUCCUGGACAUUCUCCAUGAGUCCAGCCCCAACGCACUGCACCACCUGUGCCGUUGAUGUAUUUAGAGGAGUGAAAUGAGGAUUUCAUCUACCAGACAUCAUCCACACAUCUCCCAGAAGGCAAUAAGUGGGAAAAAAGGGCACACUAAUGCUUUGUCUAUGACUUCCAUUCUACCAUGAGAUUAAAAUGUCACCACCAACUAAAAAAAGAAUGAGGAGAAGCCAGUAGGAGCCAAUACUUACAAUAAUUUGAACCAGCUUGAACUGUUGCCCCCCAGUCAGGCCACCUGCCUUGGAACCAGCUGAUUAUGGACUGAAACAAACUACACAGUCUAAAAACGAAUAAUAAAUCUGAGUUUGCAUAAGACUUCAACAAUGCUACUCACAAGAAUGAUGUCUUGAACAGAGAUUUGGACUAGACACAGAGAAAAGGCAGCAAGAAUGUAGACUUGUUGAAAACAGAAAGCAGAAAACAAAAUUCAAUUUAUAAGAGUACACUGGUGAAGAAGGCUCACAGUGGCCCAAAGGAUAAAGAGAAAGGCUCAAUUAUUAUCAAAAUGCUUUGGAAAACUCCUAUCCCAUGUAAAUAAGAAAUUGGGACAAUUGCCCUAUAAAAACUCUCUAGACCUCAUUCUCCCAAAGUUGUUAUACAGAUUUAAUCCAAUGCCAAUCAUAAUACCACUUGCAUACCUUACAGAUCUAGAGAAAUCAUCCCUAAAAUUUAUCUGGAACCUGAAGAGAUCUAGAAUAGCAAAGGCAGUUCUGAGUAACAAAGGUAAGGCAGAAUUGAUCACAAUCUCCCACUUGAAUGUAUAUUAUAAAGCUACUGUGAUAAAAUCAGCAUUGUACUUGAAUAAAAACAGACCUGGAGAUCAAUGAAAUAGAUUCAAAGAUAUAGCCACAACUAGCAAAACAUUCAACCACCUCAUCUUUGACAAAGGGGCCAAACAUGUACACUGAAAGACAGACAGUCUCUUUAAUAAGUGGUGCUAGAAAAACUGACUCUCUGUAUGCCAAAAACUAAAACCAGAUCCAUGUCUAUCACCAUGCACUAAACGAAAGUCAAAAGAAAUCAAAGAUCUAAAUAUUGGAACAGAAACACUAAAUCAUUUUGAAGACACAGUGGGUAGAAAUCUGUAUGACAUAGGAGUAUGCAAAGAGUUCAUGAACAAAAAUCAAACUGCAUGAGAAGUACUUGCAGGAAUCAACAACUGAGAUUUCACCUAAUUAAAAAGUUUUUGCAUGUCAAAGAAAAUCUCCAACAGAAUGAAAGGAAAACCCUACAAAUUGGGAAAAUAUCUUAGCCAACUGCACCUCAGACAAAGGAAUACUAUCUAGAAUAUAUAAAGAAUUUAAAAAAUCAGGCCCCUCACAUUCGAAGACCCCAACCCAAAAAUGGGUAUUUGAGAUGACUAUACACAUCUCAGCUGAAAAAAUACAAAUGGCAAGUAAAUACAUGAAAAAAAGUUCAACAUCAAUGUCAUUCAGGAAAUGCAAAUGAGAACAACACUGAGAUUCCAUCUCACCCCAGAAAGAAUGGCCAAGAUCAAGAAACCAACCAAUUACAAAUGUGGGAGGCACUGUGAGGAAAAAGGAACCCUUCUCCACUGUUAGUGGGAGUGUAAGCUGGUUUAAUCAUUGUGGAAAUCAGUGGAGAGACUCCUUAUGAAGCUAGAAUUGGAGAUUUCAUUUGAGCCAGCUAUCCUGCUUCUGGGCAUUUUCCCAGAAGAACUGGAAACAUCAUACCACAGUGAUAUAUGUCCACCUAUGUUUUUAGCAGCACAAUUUGUAAUAGCCAAAUCUUGGAAACAACCUAAGUGGCCAUCAAGCAAGGAAUGAAUAAAAAAGACGUGUAUUUUUAUACAAUGGAAUACUCUUUAGCUAUGAAAAAUCACAUUGAGACUUUUAUAAGUAAGACGAUGUAAUGAGACCUUACUAAUAAAUAAAAUACAUCAAACUCACAUGUGUAAAUAUUGUCUCUCUGGUGUAAGAAACUGAAAAUGUAUAUAUGAUCCAAAACUGUGUAAGGUCAGGAACUAACUGCUCAAAGAGGAAAAGUAACUAGGAUAGGGGAAAGGAGGAAAAAAAUAAAGUAAAAUGAAAAACAAAACAGAAAUUCAUUCAUAUAUGCAUAUAUAUGUAUAUAUGUAUAUAUGCAUAUAUGUAUGUAUGCAUAUAUACAUAUAUAUACAUAACAUAACUAAAAUGAAUAUACUAUUAAUAGUAUUGGUUAUUGGAAAAGAACAGUUAAUACUUAUACGAUUAGAUCAUUUUUACAUGUCUAUAACUGUUAAUCUAAGCCACCCUUUGAAGGUAACAAUAUGCAAUAUUACAACCUUUGUCAAAUUCUUAUCAUCCUGUUUUGGAAACCUAUACUGUUAUUGUAUUGAGUUUGUUAUUGUUUGCCUUUUUGCUUUUUUUCUUUUCUGUGACUUUUUUCCCUCAAAAAAACUCUCUUGGCCUCUCACCACAUGCAAAUUGUCCUAUCAAAAAGUUAUCUUGCCCUUUUUCCAAAUAUAAAUGAAUGAGCAAGAACAACAUCAUUUGAUUAGUAUGACCAUUUGUAAAUGAAGAUUUGAGACGAUCACUUGCUAAUUGCUCCCCUGAACAGUGCUCCAGAUGCAUUAAGCUUAGAGGCAUUUUAUUUUGUUUUAUUUUUGGUACCAGGAACCGAUCAGGACCUUGCAUUUGGCAGGCAGACCCUGUAUAGAUGAGAUGUAUCCCUGGCCUCUUGGAGUCAUUUUGGGUGCAGUGUUUUGCACACAUCUUCUUUUUAAAAGAAACAUCACAUUUCCUAAUGAUAACUGCACUUUUCCAUGAGAUGUGGCACACACCACAGAGUUGGUUGUCCAGUUUAAUGCAAACUUAAUCUCCUGCCGCAAUUUGAAUCUAAAAUGCCUCUUAAAGAUUAAGUUUUUUCAAAGUUUAAUCCCUAAUUAGGAGUGUUCAAAGCCAAUGUAUAUAUGGAUCAUAAACGCUCCAAUUUCAUCAAGUAGAUUAAUCCAUUGAGGAGUUAAUUAGCUGAGUGAUCUUAUUAGGAAUUAUAGUAAUUAAUAAUUAGUUAAAGCAGUGACUGGGGUCACUGGCUUUGAAGGGUGUAUUUGGUCUCUACCUCAUUCCUGUCUGGAUCUUGCUGUCUCUUCUUCCUGGCUGUCAUAAGAGAAGCAGGUUUCCUCUACCAUGACCCUGCCACGAUAUUCCUGCAAAUGUCCUAAUGCAAUGGAACCAUCUGACUGAAACCUCUGCCAUGAGACAAAAAUGUCUUUCCAUUUCAACUAAUUUUUUUUAGUAUUUGGGCAAGGCAACAAAAUCUAACACAACCCACCUUCAGAAAACACAGAUAAUCACUGAACCUGUGAUAUAAUGAUUUGAAUAAGAAUUAAGAAAUCUAAAGGAAGUAAUAUAUGCAUAAUAUUUUUAUAGUUUCUCAUGACUAAUAAAAAAAAAAACACUAGCAAUAAAAGUUUUCUGAUGGUCCUGUA